This 254-nucleotide ribosomal RNA is filed under the name uncultured bacterium. RNAcentral describes it as "partial 16S ribosomal RNA". It matches the Rfam family "Bacterial small subunit ribosomal RNA", at positions 524 to 776 of the family's 1533-position model. The record is from RNAcentral.
UACGUAGGCAGCGAGCGUUGUUCGGAGUUACUGGGCGUAAAGGGUGUGUAGGCGGUUUUCUAAGUUUGGUGUGAAAUCUCCCGGCUCAACCGGGAGGGUGCGCCGAAAACUGGGAGACUAGAGUGCGGGAUGGGAGAGUAGAAUUCCUGGUGUAGCGGUGAAAUGCGUAGAUAUCAGGAGGAAUACCGGUGGUGUAGACGGGCUCUCUGGACCGCCACUGACGCUGAGACACGAAAGCGUGGGUAGCAAACAGG